Molecule: ribosomal RNA, 434 nt
Filed under: uncultured Coprococcus sp.
Lineage: Bacteria; Bacillati; Bacillota; Clostridia; Lachnospirales; Lachnospiraceae
Description: partial 16S ribosomal RNA
Rfam family: Bacterial small subunit ribosomal RNA
Source: RNAcentral
ACGGGAGGCAGCAGUGGGGAAUAUUGCACAAUGGGGGAAACCCUGAUGCAGCGACGCCGCGUGAAGGAUGACGUAUUUCGGUAUGUAAACUUCUAUCAGCAAGGAAGAUGAUGACGGUACUUGACUAAGAAGCCCCGGCUAACUACGUGCCAGCAGCCGCGGUAAUACGUAGGGGGCAAGCGUUAUCCGGAUUUACUGGGUGUAAAGGGAGCGUAGGCGGCUAUGCAAGUCAGGUGUGAAAACCCGGGGCUCAACUCCGGGACUGCACUUGAAACUGCGAAGCUCGAGUACGGGAGAGGCAAGUGGAAUUCCUAGUGUAGCGGUGAAAUGCGUAGAUAUUAGGAAGAACACCAGUGGCGAAGGCGACUUGCUGGACCGCAACUGACGCUGAGGCUCGAAAGCGUGGGGAGCAAACAGGAUUAGAUACCCUGGUA